UACGGAGGGUGCAAGCGUUAUCCGGAUUCACUGGGUUUAAAGGGUGCGUAGGUGGGUAUGUAAGUCAGUGGUGAAAUCCCCGAGCUUAACUUGGGAACUGCCGUUGAUACUAUAUAUCUUGAAUAUCGCGUAGGUAAGCGGAAUAUGUCAUGUAGCGGUGAAAUGCUUAGAUAUGACAUAGAACACCAAUUGCGAAGGCAGCUUACUUCACGAUUAUUGUCACUGAGGCACGAAAGCGUGGGGAGCAAACAGG
This 253-nucleotide ribosomal RNA is filed under the name uncultured bacterium. RNAcentral describes it as "partial 16S ribosomal RNA". It matches the Rfam family "Bacterial small subunit ribosomal RNA", at positions 524 to 776 of the family's 1533-position model. The record is from RNAcentral.